RNAcentral lists this long non-coding RNA (1980 nucleotides) under Salmo salar (Atlantic salmon). RNAcentral's name for it is "lncRNA (ENSSSAG00000087734.1)". Lineage: Eukaryota; Metazoa; Chordata; Actinopteri; Salmoniformes; Salmonidae. The record is from RNAcentral.
CAAAAGUCUAAUUUAAGGGCUGGCUUAUGGAAAUUGGACUUUAUAUACUGCCAGCUUUUCUCCGAGUGCUUUAACAGCUUCUCUGUGUUGGUGACCGUAACUCACAUGUAAAAGUGUUUGGCCAAAAGCAGGGCUGGAUCUGGUGCUAGAAAGACUUGUCUCUGGGAAUCUAGAUGCCCGAACAGCCAUGGAAAGGAGGAAAGUAGAUCAAACAGAUCACUUAUAUUCUGGUCUGGUUUUAUUCCUUAAAAGUAAAGCAAUGAUUUUGUGAUUUGUUAGUGUGCGAGUCGUGUGUGUGUGUGUGUGUGUGUGUGUGUGUGUGUGUGUGUGUGUGUGUGUGUGUGUGUGUAAUAGGAGUUUCAACAACUGCUACACACACCUCAUCUAAGACCUGCUUAAAAAGGGGGAAAACAUUUAAAUGAAGUUAUUCAGUAGCCACAUGUUAACAUCAGGCAAUUUGGCCAACCUAUGGGAUGUCAAUUACAAUCGAAAUUCCUGAUGUAGACAACUGAAUAUAAAGUGAAUUCACUUAGCAUAUCAAAUUCCACUGACAAAGACACAUAUGGGAGCCGCUAUCUAUAUCUCUCGCCUGUGUUGGACUAAAUGUGCACCUUGGGACAGGGAAAAGGCUGUAACGUAAGCUUGUUUCUCUUUAAUAUCCUUGCCAAUUUAUUCUUCUUGUCUGUCAGUGGUGCCAUCCAUCUGUAACAUGAAGACAAUGAUGAAGCCAUCUCCGACUUGGCAGCUGUGUCGUCUUGUCAGAAGGAAAUAAGUCCUUUGCAUGCGAUAGGGACGUACCUCGGCGGAAAAGCGGGGCAUAUUUUCAUAUUCAACAGGUUAGCCAGAGCAAUCGGCGACCCGCAAGGCAUGAAUUAUUCCACUGAACAAUGCUGACAUCUGCAUACGACAAUGCAAUCAGACGAGACUACCGCUGGCCGCCAGCAGCUGCCGAAAAGCCCUGAACCAGUAAAUCAACACCCACAUCUAAACAAUGCCCUGAAACCAUGUGGCCUGCCAAGACCAAUAACCUGGUCAGAACGGUAUGACAUACCCUCUGUUGUUUUAAUCACCUCUGCUGACAAAGUUGACAAACAUUAUGACCUUUGAUGAAUUAGAACAGGACAAAAGGAGAGCACACCUACAAGCAAAAACUAUUAUCUAACCCCCUAUAGGUCCGACUCACCAACUAAAACUAUUAUCUAACCCCUAUAGGUCCGACUCACCAACUAAAACUAUUAUCUAACCCCCUAUAGGUCCGACUCACCAACUAAAACUAUUAUCUAACCCCCUAUAGAUCUGACUCACCAACUAAAACUAUUAUCUAACCCCCUAUAGGUCCGACUCACCAACUAAAACUAUUAUCUAACCCCCUAUAGGUCCGACUCACCAACUAAAACUAUUAUCUAACCCCUAUAGGUCCGACUCACCAACUAAAACUAUUAUCUAACCCCUAUAGGUCCGACUCACCAACUAAAACUAUUAUCUAACCCCUAUAGGUCCGACUCACCAACUAAAACUAUUAUCUAACCCCCUAUAGGUCCGACUCACCAACUAAAACUAUUAUCUAACCCCCUAUAGGUCCGACUCACCAACUAAAACUAUUAUCUAACCCCCUAUAGGUCCGACUCACCAACUAAACAAAAUACGGGGGGGGGUUUUCUUCAAAACAUCACAUAACGUCUUCCAGAUAUCUGAGGACACCCUUCCCUCUGAAGGUCGGACCAGUCUGUCACAAGGGUGGAAAAGAUGACGGAUUACCCACACUGAUUGACAAAGUCUAAAACUUCAAGGGUGACCUCCUCCUCCUCCUCUUUAUAUUAUUGAUAUGGGGCCGCUGUAAUAGUCCAGAAAAGGCUACAUAUACCAAGGGGAUAACUGGACUCUCAUCCAUAAAGCCACGGAGCCAGUCACACUCGCAGAGGACACGAUUUGGAUAACUCCCCCCCCCCAGUGAAUUGAUGUCAUGAUCCUGGUGCAGAA